UUUAGGGUUGUGGGGUUCCCCC
This 22-nucleotide unclassified non-coding RNA is filed under the name Chlamydomonas reinhardtii. Its description in RNAcentral is "small RNA Cre_4098". The record is from RNAcentral. Lineage: Eukaryota; Viridiplantae; Chlorophyta; Chlorophyceae; Chlamydomonadales; Chlamydomonadaceae.